AGCCUAUGAUGAGUUCUUACUUCUGGUCCGUGUUGUUGAUAACAUAUGAUAACAAUUGAAGUUCUGAGCUG
Small nucleolar RNA from Exaiptasia diaphana, 71 nucleotides. RefSeq annotates it as small nucleolar RNA SNORD18. The transcript has a single exon. The record is from RefSeq and is a predicted model, not a curated record. Lineage: Eukaryota; Metazoa; Cnidaria; Anthozoa; Actiniaria; Aiptasiidae.